RNAcentral lists this long non-coding RNA (213 nucleotides) under Mytilus galloprovincialis (Mediterranean mussel). The record is from RNAcentral. Lineage: Eukaryota; Metazoa; Mollusca; Bivalvia; Mytilida; Mytilidae.
GGGUUAGUAGGAUAAUGUCUGAACGUUACUGAGUUGACAGCAAAAAAAUAUCGGAAAAAUGACUCUUAGUUUUAACAAGACUUGACGUUUAAAGUUUAGUGUUUAGAGAUUUUAUUCAGACCAAAAUGACCUUUCAAAGCAAAAAAGAGUAUAUUGUUGCUUGCUGUUUUUAACAUUUCAUUGUCUUUUUUCCUCUACUUUUUUCACGUGUAU